GCAGCAAAGAUCUUUGCUAUUCUGCUAUUAGAACAAAAACUGUAGAAAUACAGAACUUGACACAUUUUUGGUAAAUUUGAAACUUUUUAAAAUUCUUUUUUUAUUAUCCCUCAUAUUGAAAAAUUUGUUACUAGUUAAAAAUGAAAGCAUGGAAAUUCGAGGUACAAUUCAAGAACAUGCCAAAAGUCGCCAAGAUGAGCUCACAGUAGUUUUUAAGACAAUUUUUAUGUGCCACUGAUAGUAUUGAUUGUUAACAGUAAUCUUUUGCAAAAUUCCCUCUAUAAUUUUAUAACACUGUGAGGCUUUGGCCACUUUUUAGGUUAAAGUCAUUUUUUCAGUUUACAGUUUUAUUGUCAACAUUUUAAUACAAUCAUAGUCAUUAUGCGAUUACACAUUUAAGGUUUAAAAUGAAUGAGCUCGUUGUCUUGCAGUAAUUAUUUCUUUGCUGUGUUGAAACACUGAGUACUGUAACAGAAGAAAUGUUGCUUUUGAAUUGGUUUUACGACUGAGACCUCAAGUAGAUAUGUAUUGAAAUGUUAUUUCUAUUGUAAAACAAGCAGUUAUCAAGAAAUUAAUGUGUCUGUAAUCUACAAUUCACAACAGUAGUGGAACUCGCCUUUGAAGAAUUAUUUGUCAUAUUUAGGAAAAAAUCUUAUGGCAACAGUCUUCUCUGAACAGCGGUCUUGUGAACACCGGCGUCAGUACAAUAAAGAACCCAGAUUUGACAGAACUACACACCCAACUGAGGCCUACCUGUUUUACUUCAUGAUCACCCCAGAUACUUCUACAACUAACUCGCUUGUGUUCAUCUUCAUGACACGAAUGAAGAUAUUUAACCCAAAUCUCUGACACCCAAGAAACCAUCACAUCAAUCUAUAUGAAUGGAGCCAAUUAAUCUACUUUUUGGGCCAAACUGUUCAAUGAAUGUCUGGACACUAGCAUCUGUUGGCUUGCUGACUAUCACUGAAGAUGAAGUACUUCUCCAAAUCUUCUCUGCCUUGACCCUGUGUCUUCUGCCAUCAUUGUUCAGGGUAGUACUGCAAAGAACCGUCUCCAGGGUCUACCUCCAACAUUUGCUUCCGGACCGCCAUGUGCUACGUUUGGAUUACUGGUACAUGUGGAUUACCCUGAUACUGUGAAGAACACUUACAAUAUGAUGCUUGACUUGGGACAGAAAAAAAAAAAACAUUGGCAACUUGUGUGGCCAACUCAUCAUGCUACCUCCACUGUUUAGCAUAACCAAAAGCAGACUGUUUUUGCUUUGUUUCAAAAUGUUUGUAAUACAAGUUAAAACUGCAUUGAAAAAUAUUAUCUUUAACUUUGAACUGUCACUACCUUUGAUGUAUGGGUAUUUAUGUGUGUGAAGAAUAGAACAUUGUUGUCAUGAAUUUGUAAUGGAUGUUUGAAGCAUUUAAGUUAAUGGAGUAACACUUGUUUUUUUAAGGCAAUCGGUUAAAACUAGAUUGCUGUUCAAAUAAAUACAACUUAGAAAUUCCA
Molecule: long non-coding RNA, 1497 nt
Organism: Cyprinus carpio (common carp)
Lineage: Eukaryota; Metazoa; Chordata; Actinopteri; Cypriniformes; Cyprinidae
Source: Ensembl